GACGAACCGUGCAAACGUUAUUCGGAUUCACUGGGCUUAAAGGGCGCGUAGGCGGGUCAUCAAGUCUGGGGUGAAAUACUUCGGCUCAACCGGAGAACAGCCUUGGAUACUGGUGGCCUCGAGGGAGAUAGGGGUGCGUGGAACUUCCGGUGGAGCGGUGAAAUGCGUAGAUAUCGGAAGGAACGCCGGUGGCGAAAGCGGCGCACUGGAUCUCUUCUGACGCUGAGGCGCGAAAGCUAGGGGAGCGAACGGGAUUAGAUACCCCGGUAGUCCUAGCCCUAAACGAUGGGUACUAGGUAGUAGGCCGCAUGGGUUUACUGCCGAAGCAAAAGUGAUAAGUACCCCGCCUGGGGAGUAUGGUCGCAAGGCUGAA
This 373-nucleotide ribosomal RNA is filed under the name uncultured bacterium. Its description in RNAcentral is "bacterial SSU rRNA". It matches the Rfam family "Bacterial small subunit ribosomal RNA", at positions 524 to 898 of the family's 1533-position model. The record is from RNAcentral.